AUGCCAACUGUCAGCAAGUAUGUCAACAACAUUUUUCAUCAUGUUUGUCUCUACAACGUUAUGAUGCAUGUUCAACAUGUAUAUGACAUGCAAGCUCGAGAAAGAUUUGUGCCCCCAAGUUAUGUAUCUGGACCCUCGAGUAAGAUGAUAGAUGAACCUUCUGAGAGGAAACGACGACAUAUGCGGGAACAAUAUGCAAACAUGCCAAAGCAUGACAAAGAAGUUGUCUUGUGUAGGAAUCAUGCAUAUAAGAUAGGACGGCGGCGUACCACCCCAUUAUCCGAACAAUCUUACAUCGCCGAUGUCGCGGGUGGGUCCAAAUUGCACUCACCAAGUACACCUUCCAUACCGACACAACCAUAUGGAUAUAGCUCCACUGGUUUUGUCCAUAGGCUUUUCUUGGAGUGCAUGUGUUGGUUUCAAGAAGAGUUUGUGUCGAUCAAGGUGAUAUUCAAGGAAUUACCUAAAGAGUGGUCUUGUGAGAGGCUGAUCAAGACUAAGUCAAAGAGUGAAUCAAGUUGA
Molecule: ribosomal RNA, 522 nt
Filed under: Triticum aestivum (bread wheat)
Lineage: Eukaryota; Viridiplantae; Streptophyta; Magnoliopsida; Poales; Poaceae
Description: partial small subunit ribosomal RNA
Source: RNAcentral